Non-coding RNA from Caenorhabditis elegans, 21 nucleotides. NCBI's taxonomy places the organism in Eukaryota, Metazoa, Nematoda, Chromadorea, Rhabditida, Rhabditidae. The record is from Ensembl.
UCGAUUCGUAUAAUGCAGAAA